GAAGGAAGGAAGGAAGGAAGGAAGGAAGGAAGGAAGGAAGGAAGGAAGGAAGGAAGGAAGGAAGGAAGGGAUUCUCACAGCAUGUCUUCUCUUCCUCUAGAAGAUUCUCUCUCCCUUGUCACUUCAAUGUGGAUCUGGGCUGGAAAGCAGAGAAAAAACACUGGAUUUCUGAAAUCAAGCUGUUGGCAGAUUUCCCAUUUCCCUUCAAGAACAUCCCAGGAUAAACCAGCUAACAGAUGAAACUGGUGGAGAGAGGACAAAAAAAAUGUGCUGAAAUCACUGGAAUAAACUGGCUGUUUUCCAGCUAUCA
RNAcentral lists this long non-coding RNA (310 nucleotides) under Cyanistes caeruleus (blue tit). Its description in RNAcentral is "lncRNA (ENSCCEG00000013811.1)". Lineage: Eukaryota; Metazoa; Chordata; Aves; Passeriformes; Paridae. The record is from RNAcentral.